RNAcentral lists this ribosomal RNA (316 nucleotides) under uncultured eukaryote. Its description in RNAcentral is "partial large subunit ribosomal RNA". It matches the Rfam family "Eukaryotic large subunit ribosomal RNA", at positions 40 to 350 of the family's 3401-position model. The record is from RNAcentral.
AUAUUAUUAAGCGGGGGAAAAGAAACUAACAAGGAUUCCCCUAGUAACUGCGAGUGAAGCGGGAAGAGCUCAACGUGAAAAUCGGUGUGUCAAGCGAUACAUCGAAUUGUAGUCUCGAGAUGCAUGGUCAGUGAUGACCUCGGUAUAAAUCCUUUGGAACAGGGUAUCAUAGAGGGUGAGAAUCCCGUCUUUGACCGAGAGUUCGUUACGUACGACGUGCAAUCCAUGAGUCGAGUUGUUUGGGAUUGCAACUCUAAAUGGGUGGUAAAUUUCAUCUAAAGCUAAAUAUCCACGAGAGACCGAUAGCGCACAAGUA